Molecule: long non-coding RNA, 299 nt
Filed under: Salvia miltiorrhiza (redroot sage)
Lineage: Eukaryota; Viridiplantae; Streptophyta; Magnoliopsida; Lamiales; Lamiaceae
Description: long non-coding RNA (SMIL_LNC000972)
Source: RNAcentral
ACAUGCACCACCAUCGGAAGAUACAAGUACGAGCGAAUGAGAAGCAACCGUUAAUCCUCAGGUCGGGAAGUUCCUCCAAAAUUACCUGCAUCCCAUCAGUUAGUGAAAUAAAAUAUGAAAACAUAUUAUUCUAAAAAGAAAUAAUUCAUGACAGCGUCUAAUCUAACGUAGUUUGCUGCUGUAAUUUGAGGUCUUCCUGAUCCAUGACUGUUGUGUUGUAGCCUAUUUUUCUUAUAAACUCUCAGUCACAACUUACUUUUGUUAUCUGUGCCCUUGAAUGUCUAAUCUAGUGUUGUUGC